Molecule: ribosomal RNA, 756 nt
Filed under: Vibrio campbellii
Lineage: Bacteria; Pseudomonadati; Pseudomonadota; Gammaproteobacteria; Vibrionales; Vibrionaceae
Description: bacterial SSU rRNA
Rfam family: Bacterial small subunit ribosomal RNA
Source: RNAcentral
UCAGAUUGAACGCUGGCGGCAGGCCUAACACAUGCAAGUCGAGCGGAAACGAGUUAUCUGAACCUUCGGGGAACGAUAACGGCGUCGAGCGGCGGACGGGUGAGUAAUGCCUAGGAAAUUGCCCUGAUGUGGGGGAUAACCAUUGGAAACGAUGGCUAAUACCGCAUAAUGCCUACGGGCCAAAGAGGGGGACCUUCGGGCCUCUCGCGUCAGGAUAUGCCUAGGUGGGAUUAGCUAGUUGGUGAGGUAAGGGCUCACCAAGGCGACGAUCCCUAGCUGGUCUGAGAGGAUGAUCAGCCACACUGGAACUGAGACACGGUCCAGACUCCUACGGGAGGCAGCAGUGGGGAAUAUUGCACAAUGGGCGCAAGCCUGAUGCAGCCAUGCCGCGUGUGUGAAGAAGGCCUUCGGGUUGUAAAGCACUUUCAGUCGUGAGGAAGGUAGUGUAGUUAAUAGCUGCAUUAUUUGACGUUAGCGACAGAAGAAGCACCGGCUAACUCCGUGCCAGCAGCCGCGGUAAUACGGAGGGUGCGAGCGUUAAUCGGAAUUACUGGGCGUAAAGCGCAUGCAGGUGGUUUGUUAAGUCAGAUGUGAAAGCCCGGGGCUCAACCUCGGAAUUGCAUUUGAAACUGGCAGACUAGAGUACUGUAGAGGGGGGUAGAAUUUCAGGUGUAGCGGUGAAAUGCGUAGAGAUCUGAAGGAAUACCGGUGGCGAAGGCGGCCCCCUGGACAGAUACUGACACUCAGAGCGAAAGA